Molecule: long non-coding RNA, 689 nt
Organism: Poecilia latipinna (sailfin molly)
Lineage: Eukaryota; Metazoa; Chordata; Actinopteri; Cyprinodontiformes; Poeciliidae
Exons: 4
Source: RefSeq, a predicted model, not a curated record
CAGUAGCUCUGGCGCACGUAAAUAAUUUAGCUUGUUUGACCGUGAUAGGACAGAGAUAAAGAAAAACAACAGGGUCGGUUUGAUAGCCCUCUGAGAGCAGCAACAUCGUUCAUACAGUGUCUCAGGUGUCAAGGAAGUUUAUGGAAGUCGAUACAUUACAUUAUCACAAAAUGUCAUCCUCCUUACCUAACUAUGCGCAAACUGCCAACAAGUUUUAAGGCCGUUACAGGUAAUCGAGUAGUGUCAAACACGUCUUACUGUGUUUGACACUACAAAUGAGGACCGACUACAGCUGGCAUAACAACUAACCUCCUAACCGACUGGUGAAAUUUGAUUCUGCCGUCUAACGUUUCACUCAGCUUGCUCUCACAAUUAUUUAGCAAGCAGUACCCACGGCGGCCAUGUUUCAUUCCACCCGACGGACGAAAGCAGGAAGUUAAAAAUUGCUGCAGCCGUUUGCUCCAGGAUUGAGAAAUUUGCUGGAGGGAAAAUCUGCUACCGGAGACUCUGAGCUGUCUGAGGGGCUGAUCUGAGAGAAGCUUCUGGACUUGCAAACAGCUCCAGGGAGGAAAUGGAAAUGUCUACAUCACAUUCCCACCUACGUAGGAAGACCAGCUCGCAGAAGAAGAGCGUCGCCACCAGGUUCCUGUGGAUGGCGUGCAGGUUGGAGCGCAGCCGGUGCAGGAGGC